This 77-nucleotide transfer RNA is filed under the name Patescibacteria group bacterium. Its description in RNAcentral is "tRNA-Val". It matches the Rfam family "tRNA". Rfam says of the family: Transfer RNA (tRNA) molecules are approximately 80 nucleotides in length. Their secondary structure includes four short double-helical elements and three loops (D, anti-codon, and T loops). RNAcentral also lists the same sequence under 1 other name. The record is from RNAcentral.
GGGCGUUUAGCUCAGUUGGUUAGAGCGCUUCGUUUACAUCGAAGAAGUCGGGGGUUCGAAUCCCUCAACGCCCACCA